UGCCGGUGAGUGAAGAAGGCCUUCGGGUUGUAAAGCUCUUUUGUCAGGGAAGAAACAGCAGCUCUAACACAGUUUGCGAAUGACGGUACCUGAAGAAUAAGCACCGGCUAACUACGUGCCAGCAGCCGCGGUAAUACGUAGGGUGCAAGCGUUAAUCGGAAUUACUGGGCGUAAAGCGUGCGCAGGCGGUUAUGUAAGACAGGCGUGAAAUCCCCGGGCUUAACCUGGGAAUUGCGCUUGUGACUGCAUAGCUAGAGUAUGUCAGAGGGGGGUAGAAUUCCACGUGUAGCAGUGAAAUGCGUAGAGAUGUGGAGGAAUACCAAUGGCGAAGGCAGCCCCCUGGGAUAAUACUGACGCUCAUGCACGAAAGCGUGGGGAGCAAACAGGAUUAGAUACCCUGGUAGUCCACGCCCUAAACGAUGCUGACUAGUUGUUCGGGAAUUUAUUCCUGAGUAACGUAGCUAACGCGUGAAGUCAGCCGCCUGGGGAGUACGGUCGCAAGAUUAAAACUCAAAGGAAUUGACGGGGAACCGCACAAGCGGUGGAUGAUGUGGAUUAAUUCGAUGCACGC
This 571-nucleotide ribosomal RNA is filed under the name uncultured archaeon. RNAcentral's name for it is "bacterial SSU rRNA". It matches the Rfam family "Bacterial small subunit ribosomal RNA", at positions 395 to 962 of the family's 1533-position model. The record is from RNAcentral.